GAGAGUGUGUCUCCAGAUGCGUGUCUACUGCUGAGUUGCAGGGGAAACCAGCAAGCAUGGUGAUCCGUGCCCCUGCCCACCUCUCCUCUAAGACCUGGCACUGCCCAUCCACCUGGACGACUUCCUGCUUUUCAGAUAUCAGAAUGCAGGUGUGCCUGGCAACCUCCGAAAAUCCCUCACGCCAAUGUUACAGCUGCAUCUACAAGACUCCUGCUCAGAAGGCUCUUCUGUGCCAAGGGGAGCCUGCCAUGUCGCAAAGGGCGUCAGCUCCAUUCCUCCUUGGCUGGAACCACUGCCGGAUGGGGUGGAAGAACCUGCGGUCCCUUCCCAGACACACCCCACCUACUCAGCCUUCUCUGGGUCAAGGCCAGAGCAGACAUCAGUCUCCGAGAGCAGCAGGCUGUGGGAAUGCAGAGGCGGGUACUUCAACUUACAGAGCAGAGCCUCCACGCACUUGAUCUUUCACGAAGUCCCCUUUCCCUGGACCCCGAUCUCUGUCCUUCUCCAUCCCCCAUCCUGUCCCUGCAGCCCUCUUCUUGGGGUCCCUAGUCCAGCCUUCUCCUUCUCGUUACAGUGGAGACACCAGCCUCCCCACAGAACAGGUGGAGUGGUACAACUGCAUCCUUUUCUCUCAGCACAACCCGAGUGGACAUCGACACGUUCAGAUUUAGCAGAGAUUCUUUUUUUCGCCAGUAUCGGGAUUUGCCUGUGUGAGUGGCUUUAAAAGGAGGAAACCAGAGAGUGUUCCAUAAGAGGGAUUGAGUUCAGUAUGUGAAGCACCUGCCAAACAGCAAAAAAUGAGAGUGAUGAUGGGGUUCUUAGUCCCAAAGAACGCAAUUCACUCCAGUGGAGUUAAAGCAGCCAAGGGGCUUAAUAGUAAAAGAUAGCUCAGAAAAUACACAAGAGAGACAGAGAAUUAAGCUUGCAUUCUGGGAUAGAGCACAAGAGCUCCAGUGGAAACCCCAUCUCAGCAGCCCUCACGGCUGUGCUUGGCAGUGGGAUGCUCGCCUUGGGAGCCCCAUUCCUGUGGCCUCUGAAAGCAGGAUGUCUCUCCACCCUUUCGACAGACUCGAUUUCACACAGCACCUUCUUCCUUCCAG
Molecule: long non-coding RNA, 1100 nt
Filed under: Sus scrofa (pig)
Lineage: Eukaryota; Metazoa; Chordata; Mammalia; Artiodactyla; Suidae
Description: lncRNA (ENSSSCG00050010641.1)
Source: RNAcentral